UUAAGCGACUAAGCGUACACGGUGGAUGCCCUGGCAGUCAGAGGCGAUGAAGGACGUGCUAAUCUGCGAUAAGCGUCGGUAAGGUGAUAUGAACCGUUAUAACCGGCGAUUUCCGAAUGGGGAAACCCAGUGUGUUUCGACACACUAUCAUUAACUGAAUCCAUAGGUUAAUGAGGCGAACCGGGGGAACUGAAACAUCUAAGUACCCCGAGGAAAAGAAAUCAACCGAGAUUCCCCCAGUAGCGGCGAGCGAACGGGGAGCAGCCCAGAGCCUGAAUCAGUGUGUGUGUUAGUGGAAGCGUCUGGAAAGGCGCGCGAUACAGGGUGACAGCCCCGUACACAAAAAUGCACAUGCUGUGAGCUCGAUGAGUAGGGCGGGACACGUGGUAUCCUGUCUGAAUAUGGGGGGACCAUCCUCCAAGGCUAAAUACUCCUGACUGACCGAUAGUGAACCAGUACCGUGAGGGAAAGGCGAAAAGAACCCCGGCGAGGGGAGUGAAAAAGAACCUGAAACCGUGUACGUACAAGCAGUGGGAGCACGCUUAGGCGUGUGACUGCGUACCUUUUGUAUAAUGGGUCAGCGACUUAUAUUCUGUAGCAAGGUUAACCGAAUAGGGGAGCCGAAGGGAAACCGAGUCUUAACUGGGCGUUAAGUUGCAGGGUAUAGACCCGAAACCCGGUGAUCUAGCCAUGGGCAGGUUGAAGGUUGGGUAACACUAACUGGAGGACCGAACCGACUAAUGUUGAAAAAUUAGCGGAUGACUUGUGGCUGGGGGUGAAAGGCCAAUCAAACCGGGAGAUAGCUGGUUCUCCCCGAAAGCUAUUUAGGUAGCGCCUCGUGAAUUCAUCUCCGGGGGUAGAGCACUGUUUCGGCAAGGGGGUCAUCCCGACUUACCAACCCGAUGCAAACUGCGAAUACCGGAGAAUGUUAUCACGGGAGACACACGGCGGGUGCUAACGUCCGUCGUGAAGAGGGAAACAACCCAGACCGCCAGCUAAGGUCCCAAAGUCAUGGUUAAGUGGGAAACGAUGUGGGAAGGCCCAGACAGCCAGGAUGUUGGCUUAGAAGCAGCCAUCAUUUAAAGAAAGCGUAAUAGCUCACUGGUCGAGUCGGCCUGCGCGGAAGAUGUAACGGGGCUAAACCAUGCACCGAAGCUGCGGCAGCGACACUAUGUGUUGUUGGGUAGGGGAGCGUUCUGUAAGCCUGCGAAGGUGUGCUGUGAGGCAUGCUGGAGGUAUCAGAAGUGCGAAUGCUGACAUAAGUAACGAUAAAGCGGGUGAAAAGCCCGCUCGCCGGAAGACCAAGGGUUCCUGUCCAACGUUAAUCGGGGCAGGGUGAGUCGACCCCUAAGGCGAGGCCGAAAGGCGUAGUCGAUGGGAAACAGGUUAAUAUUCCUGUACUUGGUGUUACUGCGAAGGGGGGACGGAGAAGGCUAUGUUGGCCGGGCGACGGUUGUCCCGGUUUAAGCGUGUAGGCUGGUUUUCCAGGCAAAUCCGGAAAAUCAAGGCUGAGGCGUGAUGACGAGGCACUACGGUGCUGAAGCAACAAAUGCCCUGCUUCCAGGAAAAGCCUCUAAGCAUCAGGUAACAUCAAAUCGUACCCCAAACCGACACAGGUGGUCAGGUAGAGAAUACCAAGGCGCUUGAGAGAACUCGGGUGAAGGAACUAGGCAAAAUGGUGCCGUAACUUCGGGAGAAGGCACGCUGAUAUGUAGGUGAAGUCCCUCGCGGAUGGAGCUGAAAUCAGUCGAAGAUACCAGCUGGCUGCAACUGUUUAUUAAAAACACAGCACUGUGCAAACACGAAAGUGGACGUAUACGGUGUGACGCCUGCCCGGUGCCGGAAGGUUAAUUGAUGGGGUCAGCGCAAGCGAAGCUCUUGAUCGAAGCCCCGGUAAACGGCGGCCGUAACUAUAACGGUCCUAAGGUAGCGAAAUUCCUUGUCGGGUAAGUUCCGACCUGCACGAAUGGCGUAAUGAUGGCCAGGCUGUCUCCACCCGAGACUCAGUGAAAUUGAACUCGCUGUGAAGAUGCAGUGUACCCGCGGCAAGACGGAAAGACCCCGUGAACCUUUACUAUAGCUUGACACUGAACAUUGAGCCUUGAUGUGUAGGAUAGGUGGGAGGCUUUGAAGUGUGGACGCCAGUCUGCAUGGAGCCGACCUUGAAAUACCACCCUUUAAUGUUUGAUGUUCUAACGUUGACCCGUGAUCCGGGUUGCGGACAGUGUCUGGUGGGUAGUUUGACUGGGGCGGUCUCCUCCUAAAGAGUAACGGAGGAGCACGAAGGUUGGCUAAUCCUGGUCGGACAUCAGGAGGUUAGUGCAAUGGCAUAAGCCAGCUUGACUGCGAGCGUGACGGCGCGAGCAGGUGCGAAAGCAGGUCAUAGUGAUCCGGUGGUUCUGAAUGGAAGGGCCAUCGCUCAACGGAUAAAAGGUACUCCGGGGAUAACAGGCUGAUACCGCCCAAGAGUUCAUAUCGACGGCGGUGUUUGGCACCUCGAUGUCGGCUCAUCACAUCCUGGGGCUGAAGUAGGUCCCAAGGGUAUGGCUGUUCGCCAUUUAAAGUGGUACGCGAGCUGGGUUUAGAACGUCGUGAGACAGUUCGGUCCCUAUCUGCCGUGGGCGCUGGAGAACUGAGGGGGGCUGCUCCUAGUACGAGAGGACCGGAGUGGACGCAUCACUGGUGUUCGGGUUGUCAUGCCAAUGGCACUGCCCGGUAGCUAAAUGCGGAAGAGAUAAGUGCUGAAAGCAUCUAAGCACGAAACUUGCCCCGAGAUGAGUUCUCCCUGACCCCUUGAGGGUCCUGAAGGAACGUUGAAGACGACGACGUUGAUAGGCCGGGUGUGUAAGCGCAGCGAUGCGUUGAGCUAACCGGUACUAAUGAACCGUGAGGCUUAACCU
RNAcentral lists this ribosomal RNA (2900 nucleotides) under Escherichia coli. Its description in RNAcentral is "23S ribosomal RNA". It matches the Rfam family "Bacterial large subunit ribosomal RNA". Lineage: Bacteria; Pseudomonadati; Pseudomonadota; Gammaproteobacteria; Enterobacterales; Enterobacteriaceae. The record is from RNAcentral.